RNAcentral lists this ribosomal RNA (497 nucleotides) under uncultured bacterium. Its description in RNAcentral is "partial 16S ribosomal RNA". It matches the Rfam family "Bacterial small subunit ribosomal RNA", at positions 28 to 507 of the family's 1533-position model. The record is from RNAcentral.
GAUGAACGCUGGCGGCGUGCCUAAUACAUGCAAGUCGAGCGAACAGAUGGGGAGCUUGCUCCUCUGACGUUAGCGGCGGACGGGUGAGUAACACGUGGAUAACCUACCUAUAAGACUGGGAUAACUUCGGGAAACCGGAGCUAAUACCGGAUAAUAUAUUGAACCGCAUGGUUCAAUAGUGAAAGACGGUUUUGCUGUCACUUAUAGAUGGAUCCGCGCCGCAUUAGCUAGUUGGUAAGGUAACGGCUUACCAAGGCAACGAUGCGUAGCCGACCUGAGAGCGUGAUCGGCCCCACUGGAACUGAGACACCGUCCAGACUCCUACGUGAGGCAGCAGUAGGGAAUCUUCCGCAAUGGGCGAAAGCCUGACGGAGCAACGCCGCGUGAGUGCUGAAGGUCUUCGGAUCGUAAAACUCUGUUAUUAGGGAAGAACAAAUGUGUAAGUAACUAUGCACGUCUUGACGGUACCUACUCAGAAAGCCACGGCUAACUACGUG